RNAcentral lists this ribosomal RNA (688 nucleotides) under Bordetella petrii. Its description in RNAcentral is "bacterial SSU rRNA". It matches the Rfam family "Bacterial small subunit ribosomal RNA", at positions 395 to 1074 of the family's 1533-position model. The record is from RNAcentral. Lineage: Bacteria; Pseudomonadati; Pseudomonadota; Betaproteobacteria; Burkholderiales; Alcaligenaceae.
UCCCGCGUGUGCGAUGAAGGCCUUCGGGUUGUAAAGCACUUUUGGCAGGAAAGAAACGGCCCUGGUUAAUACCUGGGGCAACUGACGGUACCUGCAGAAUAAGCACCGGCUAACUACGUGCCAGCAGCCGCGGUAAUACGUAGGGUGCAAGCGUUAAUCGGAAUUACUGGGCGUAAAGCGUGCGCAGGCGGUUCGGAAAGAAAGAUGUGAAAUCCCAGGGCUUAACCUUGGAACUGCAUUUUUAACUACCGGGCUAGAGUGUGUCAGAGGGAGGUGGAAUUCCGCGUGUAGCAGUGAAAUGCGUAGAGAUGCGGAGGAACACCGAUGGCGAAGGCAGCCUCCUGGGAUAACACUGACGCUCAUGCACGAAAGCGUGGGGAGCAAACAGGAUUAGAUACCCUGGUAGUCCACGCCCUAAACGAUGUCAACUAGCUGUUGGGGGCUUCGGCCCUUGGUAGCGCAGCUAACGCGUGAAGUUGACCGCCUGGGGAGUACGGUCGCAAGAUUAAAACUCAAAGGAAUUGACGGGGACCCGCACAAGCGGUGGAUGAUGUGGAUUAAUUCGAUGCAACGCGAAAAACCUUACCUACCCUUGACAUGUCUGGAAUGCCGAAGAGAUUUGGCAGUGCUCGCAAGAGAACCGGAACACAGGUGCUGCAUGGCUGUCGUCAGCUCGUGUCGUGAGAUG